Molecule: non-coding RNA, 100 nt
Organism: Apodospora peruviana
Lineage: Eukaryota; Fungi; Ascomycota; Sordariomycetes; Sordariales; Lasiosphaeriaceae
Source: the annotation of a GenBank genome assembly
GGGUACAUGGUCUAGUGGUAUGAUUUUCGCUUCGCAUAGUUUUCGUCACGAGAUUAAGCGAUCCUGUGAAAGGUCCCCGGUUCAAUCCCGGGUGUAUCCA